UGUAGUCAUGUCAGAUUCAGGGAUACAUUUCCAUUGUACUUACUGGCCUAAGUGGCUGGUACAGUAAACUUGCGGUCCAGGGGCUUCAUAUCUUCAUCUCUAGGUGCUGAGGACAAGCAAAAUUCUCCAGACACGU
Protopterus annectens (West African lungfish) is the source of this 136-nucleotide small nucleolar RNA. RefSeq annotates it as small nucleolar RNA SNORA5. The record is from RefSeq and is a predicted model, not a curated record. NCBI's taxonomy places the organism in Eukaryota, Metazoa, Chordata, Ceratodontiformes, Protopteridae. The transcript has a single exon.